This 582-nucleotide ribosomal RNA is filed under the name bacterium W13C30_B. RNAcentral's name for it is "bacterial SSU rRNA". It matches the Rfam family "Bacterial small subunit ribosomal RNA", at positions 67 to 695 of the family's 1533-position model. The record is from RNAcentral.
CGGAUCCUUCGGGAUUAGUGGCAGACGGGUGAGUAACGCGUGGGAAGCUACCUUGUGGUAGGGGACAACAGUUUGAAAAGACUGCUAAUACCCUAUGAGCCCUAUGGGGGAAAGAUUUAUCGCCAUGAGAUGUGCCCGCGUUAGAUUAGCUAGUUGGUAAGGUAAUGGCUUACCAAGGCGACGAUCUAUAGCUGGUCUGAGAGGAUGAUCAGCCACACUGGGACUGAAACACGGCCCAGACUCCUACGGGAGGCAGCAGUGGGGAAUAUUGGACAAUGGGGGCAACCCUGAUCCAGCCAUGCCGCGUGUGUGAUGACGGCCUUAGGGUUGUAAAGCACUUUCAGCAGUGAAGAUAAUGACAUUAACUGCAGAAGAAGCCCCGGCUAACUUCGUGCCAGCAGCCGCGGUAAUACGAAGGGGGCUAGCGUUGUUCGGAAUCACUGGGCGUAAAGAGUACGUAGGCGGACUGAUAAGUUAGGGGUGAAAUCCCAAGGCUCAACCUUGGAACUGCCUUUGAUACUGUCAGUCUUGAGAUCGAGAGAGGUGAGUGGAACUCCGAGUGUAGAGGUGAAAUUCGUAGAU